AGGUGUGGCAAGGCGGCCGCGGUGUUGGUCUUCGGAUCGGCAUUGAGGAAAGUCCGAGCACGGCAGGAUGCGGUGGUGGGUAACGCCCACCCGCCCGGUGAUUCGUUUCGCGUGAUCGAGGGCGAGGGAAAGUGCCGCAGAGAGCAGACCGCCGAUGGCGCCCUUCGGGGCGUACAGGCAAGGGUGAAAGGGUGCGGUAAGAGCGCACCGCUCGGUUGGUGACAGCCGGGGCAUGGCAAACCCCACCGCGUGCAAGGUCAAGCAGCUCCCACUCGGUGCCUCGGCAUCGGGUCCGGCUGGUCCGGUCGGAGUGGGGCGGGUGGACCGCUCGGGUCGAACGACCCGCAUCACGUCGGCAACGGCGUGGGUAGAGAAAUGGUCGCUUCUGAUUGCAUGCCCGAAAGGGAACGGCAAUCAGGACAGAACUCGGCUUACCAGCUGCACCCGAAC
Molecule: RNase P RNA, 450 nt
Filed under: Phycisphaerales bacterium
Lineage: Bacteria; Pseudomonadati; Planctomycetota; Phycisphaerae; Phycisphaerales
Description: RNase P RNA component class A
Rfam family: Bacterial RNase P class A
About the family: Ribonuclease P (RNase P) is a ubiquitous endoribonuclease, found in archaea, bacteria and eukarya as well as chloroplasts and mitochondria. Its best characterised activity is the generation of mature 5'-ends of tRNAs by cleaving the 5'-leader elements of precursor-tRNAs. Cellular RNase Ps are ribonucleoproteins.
Source: RNAcentral